AUACGGAGGGGGUUAGCGUUGUUCGGAAUUACAGGGCGUAAAGCGUACGUAGGCGGAUUGGAAAGUAUGGGGUGAAAUCCCAGGGCUCAACCCUGGAACUGCCUCAUAAACUCCCAGUCUAGAGUUCGAGAGAGGUGAGUGGAAUUCCGAGUGUAGAGGUGAAAUUCGUAGAUAUUCGGAGGAACACCAGUGGCGAAGGCGGCUCACUGGCUCGAUACUGACGCUGAGGUACGAAAGUGUGGGGAGCAAACAGGAUUAGAAACCCUAGUAGUCC
Molecule: ribosomal RNA, 274 nt
Filed under: uncultured bacterium
Lineage: Bacteria
Description: partial 16S ribosomal RNA
Rfam family: Bacterial small subunit ribosomal RNA
Source: RNAcentral